UCAGGAUGAACGCUGGCGGCGUGCCUAAUACAUGCAAGUCGAGCGAACAGAUAAGGAGCUUGCUCCUUUGACGUUAGCGGCGGACGGGUGAGUAACACGUGGAUAACCUACCUAUAAGACUGGGAUAACUUCGGGAAACCGGAGCUAAUACCGGAUAACAUAUUGAACCGCAUGGUUCAAUAGUGAAAGGCGGCUUUGCUGUCACUUAUAGAUGGAUCCGCGCCGUAUUAGCUAGUUGGUAAGGUAACGGCUUACCAAGGCAACGAUACGUAGCCGACCUGAGAGGGUGAUCGGCCACACUGGAACUGAGACACGGUCCAGACUCCUACGGGAGGCAGCAGUAGGGAAUCUUCCGCAAUGGGCGAAAGCCUGACGGAGCAACGCCGCGUGAGUGAUGAAGGUCUUCGGAUCGUAAAACUCUGUUAUCAGGGAAGAACAAAUGUGUAAGUAACUGUGCACAUCUUGACGGUACC
Molecule: ribosomal RNA, 473 nt
Filed under: Staphylococcus warneri
Lineage: Bacteria; Bacillati; Bacillota; Bacilli; Caryophanales; Staphylococcaceae
Description: bacterial SSU rRNA
Rfam family: Bacterial small subunit ribosomal RNA
Source: RNAcentral